UACGUAGGGUGCGAGCGUUAAUCGGAAUUACUGGGCGUAAAGCGUGCGCAGGCUGUUUUGUAAGUCAGAUGUGAAAUCCCUGAGCUCAACUUAGGAACUGCGUUUGAAACUACAAGACUAGAAUAUGUCAGAGGGGGGUAGAAUUCCACGUGUAGCAGUGAAAUGCGUAGAGAUGUGGAGGAAUACCAAUGGCGAAGGCAGCCCCCUGGGAUAAUAUUGACGCUCAUGCACGAAAGCGUGGGGAGCAAACAGG
RNAcentral lists this ribosomal RNA (253 nucleotides) under uncultured bacterium. RNAcentral's name for it is "partial 16S ribosomal RNA". It matches the Rfam family "Bacterial small subunit ribosomal RNA", at positions 524 to 776 of the family's 1533-position model. RNAcentral also lists the same sequence under 3 other names. The record is from RNAcentral.